Molecule: long non-coding RNA, 1796 nt
Organism: Leopardus geoffroyi (Geoffroy's cat)
Lineage: Eukaryota; Metazoa; Chordata; Mammalia; Carnivora; Felidae
Exons: 3
Source: RefSeq, a predicted model, not a curated record
CAGAAAUGAAAUGUCAUUUAUCUUGGGUUUUGGAUUGUGUGCUAGGACUGUUUCUUUUGUGCAUCAGAUUUUCCAUAUUCAGUAUUCUUUUUAUUACUGUUAAUUUUACAUAAAGUAACAGCAUUGCAGAAUUGUAAAACCAGAAGGCGGUCGAGGGGUUUAUUAAUCUCAUGGUUUUCAGACUGUGUACAGGGAAGAUCUGGGAUUCCAGAGAGGAGCCCUGGGCAGGAGGUGGAGGACAAGUGGACCCAGGUCUCCCAUUGUACAGAUAACAAAACCGAGUCCCAGGGAGGGGCCGAGAACUUCCAAGCUGCUGUCUUCAGGCCACACGGAGUUGAGGUCAGAGUUUUCUGCUUUCUCGAUCGCCAGCUCGUCGGCCACGGGAGGAUGGACGUUACAUUUGCAGGGAUCUUAUGGAUUUCUCUGUUAUGCUGCAGCUUGGACCAAACAGCCCUCUCUUCUUCGCCUCUAUCGAUCUAAAUGUUUCCAUAUUUGUUUCCUUGUGGAGGCAUUUACUGCAUCAGACAUUCAAGAGAUGGGGCCUGGAGAUUUACAGAGCUCUUUGUGUGUUCCGACGUACAACCGGAGCUCAGAGACAUGGAAAGACAUGGAAAGAAGUGCCCUCUGAUGUCCGAAAGGGCCACAGCAUCAUUCUGCCUCUGACCUUGCAACACUGACUUACUGUGCAUGAAACACAGCCUCCUCGUCAGCAAAACUGGGGAAGUUAUCAUCGAAGCAGCCUUCCUGGAUCAUUACGAGGACGGAAGAGCCCCCACACUGGAACAGGAGGGCAGAGUACAUCCUGUUACCGGGAGUUAAGCCAUCUUCCUCCUGGUCCAUUGCGAACACGUGCAAGUCAAGAAGAGGUCUCUCCCAUGGCUCAUCCCCAAGAAAUCAAGGGCAGGAGAGGAACCCGGGUCUUCCGGAUGUCUUCUUGACGAUGGUCAACAUCUCUUGCAAGUACAGAUGACGCCUCAUGGUGAGUUAAGGCGACGUGACGCCAGAUCCUCUUGCUAACACGCGAGGCAGGCAAUGAAAAGAGGGGCCAGAAGGAAGCAAACGCUCGUCCCGCGCAUCGGUGUCUCUUCGAUGACUUCAUUCUACUGUUGGUUCUUUGACCUGAUCAUUCGUUCACUAACCAUUCAUGGAGCGGAUACUCUCUGCCAGGCCCUGCUCUGGCUGCUUCCAGUGGCCCCAGUCCCUCCUUUUGCACACGUGUGUGUGUGGCACUUCGAAGGCUGACACAAUCGCCCUAAAGAGCCCCUCCUCUGCCAGCAGCUGGCCCAGUGCCCCAGCAUGCAGUAGGCGCUCAAACAUUGGUGGGUACGUAAGCGAUGAAUCAUCGGAAUCCACUCCCGAAGCCGGGACGACACCGUGUAUGCUGUAUGUGAGCUAACGUGACAAUAAAUUAUUUUUAAAAAUUAGAUUCAAUUGUAUCGUAUUCGGAAAAUAUCUGUCAGGUGGAAGGGAAUUGGAAUAUCGAAGUUCCCAUUUAUUCUCAAGUCUGGCUGGGCUUUGGGGAGAGGAGAGGUAGGGCCUGUUUUUAUUUGCUGUCGCUUUGGUUUGAUUUUUCACUGUAUCGGCUUCCCUGGAAGGGAAGGGGCCCCUCAGGUGAGCGGCGAGGAACCCCAGAUCAGGCCUGGCUUAUAUUCUCAUAACUUUCUCAUAUUACUGGCUCUGGAUAACCACUGCAAUAGGCCACCUCAUUGUGUAAAAGUCCCCCAAGAAUCCUGGUGGACCCUCUGACCAUCCUAACUUCCCCCACAUGAACCCCCCAAACAUAACAGCCAAGAAUU